Molecule: non-coding RNA, 253 nt
Filed under: uncultured bacterium
Lineage: Bacteria
Also listed under: 2 other names
Description: partial 16S ribosomal RNA
Rfam family: Bacterial small subunit ribosomal RNA
Source: RNAcentral
GACAGAGGGUGCAAACGUUGUUCGGAAUUACUGGGCGUAAAGCGUGUGUAGGCGGCCGCGCAAGUCGGAUGUGAAAGCCCUGGGCUCAACCCAGGAAGUGCACCCGAUACUGCGUGGCUCGAGUACCGGAGAGGUUGGUAGAAUUCUCGGUGUAGAGGUGAAAUUCGUAGAUAUCGAGAGGAAUACCUGUGGCGAAGGCGGCCAACUGGACGAGUACUGACGCUGAGACACGAAAGCGUGGGGAGCAAACAGG